GACGAACGCUGGCGGCGUGCUUAACACAUGCAAGUCGAACGGUAAGGCUCCAGCUUGCUGGGGUACACGAGUGGCGAACGGGUGAGUAACACGUGGGUGACCUGCCCUGCACUUCGGGAUAAGCCUGGGAAACUGGGUCUAAUACCGGAUAGGACCAUGGUGUGGAUACUGUGGUGGAAAGUUUUUUCGGUGUGGGAUGGGCCCGCGGCCUAUCAGCUUGUUGGUGGGGUAAUGGCCUACCAAGGCGGCGACGGGUAGCCGGCCUGAGAGGGUGGACGGCCACAUUGGGACAGAGACACGGCCCAGACUCCUACGGGAGGCAGCAGUGGGGAAUAUUGCACAAUGGGCGGAAGCCUGAUGCAGCGACGCCGCGUGGGGGAUGACGGCCUUCGGGUUGUAAACUCCUUUCCCCAUCGACGAAGGGUUUCUGACGGUAGAUGGAGAAGAAGCACCGGCUAACUACGUG
RNAcentral lists this ribosomal RNA (466 nucleotides) under uncultured bacterium. RNAcentral's name for it is "partial 16S ribosomal RNA". It matches the Rfam family "Bacterial small subunit ribosomal RNA", at positions 28 to 507 of the family's 1533-position model. The record is from RNAcentral.